This 427-nucleotide ribosomal RNA is filed under the name uncultured bacterium. RNAcentral describes it as "partial 16S ribosomal RNA". It matches the Rfam family "Bacterial small subunit ribosomal RNA", at positions 354 to 796 of the family's 1533-position model. The record is from RNAcentral.
GUGGGGAAUAUUGGGCAAUGGGGGCAACCCUGACCCAGCGACGCCGCGUGAGGGAAGAAGGCCUUAGGGUCGUAAACCUCUGUUGUGUGGGAAGAAGGAAGUGACGGUACCACACGAGGAAGUCCCGGCUAACUACGUGCCAGCAGCCGCGGUAAUACGUAGGGGACGAGCGUUGUCCGGAAUUACUGGGCGUAAAGGGCGCGUAGUCGGUCAUUUAAGUCAGCUGUGAAAUGGUCCGGCUCAACCGGAUCAUGCGGUUGAAACUGGAUGACUGGAGUGCUGGAGAGGCAAGUGGAAUUCCCAGUGUAGCGGUGAAAUGCGUAGAUAUUGGGAAGAACACCGGUGGCGAAGGCGACUUGCUGGCCAGCAACUGACGCUGAGGCGCGAAAGCCAGGGGAGCAAACGGGAUUAGAAACCCCUGUAGUCC